This 253-nucleotide ribosomal RNA is filed under the name uncultured bacterium. RNAcentral's name for it is "partial 16S ribosomal RNA". It matches the Rfam family "Bacterial small subunit ribosomal RNA", at positions 524 to 776 of the family's 1533-position model. The record is from RNAcentral.
UACGUAGGGUGCGAGCGUUGUCCGGAAUUAUUGGGCGUAAAGAGCUCGUAGGCGGUUUGUCGCGUCGGCUGUGAAAACUGGAGGCUUAACCUUCAGCGGGCAGUCGAUACGGGCAGACUUGAGUUCGGUAGGGGAGACUGGAAUUCCUGGUGUAGCGGUGAAAUGCGCAGAUAUCAGGAGGAACACCGGUGGCGAAGGCGGGACUCUGGGCCGAUACUAACGCUGAGGAGCGAAAGCGUGGGGAGCGAACAGG